AGAGUAAAGAGAGAGAGAGAGAAUGAGGGUAAGAGUAAAGAGAGAGAAUGAGGGUAAGAGUAGAGAGGGAGAGAGAGAAUGAGGGUAAGAGUAGAGAGGGAGAGAGAGAAUGAGGGUAAGAGUAAAGAGGGAGAGAGAGAAUGAGGGUAAGAGUAGAGGGAGAGAGAGAAUGAGGGUAAGAGUAAAGAGAGAGAAUGAGGGUAAGAGUAGAGAGGGAGAGAGAGAAUGAGGGUAAGAGUAGAGAGGGAGAGAGAGAAUGAGGGUAAGAGUAGAGGGAGAGAGAGAAUGGGGGUAAGAGUAGAGAGGGAGAGAGGGAGAGAGAGAAUGAGGGUAAGAGUAGAGUGAGAGAGAGAGAUGAGGGUACGAGUAGAGAGGGAGAGAGAGAUGAGGGUAAGAGUAGAGAGAGAGAGAGAGAGAAUAAGAGUAGAGAGAGAGAGAAUGCGGGUAAGAGUAGAGAGAGAGAGAGAGAGAGAAUGCAGGUAAGAGAGAGAGAGAGAGAGAGAGAAUGCGGGUAAGAGUAGAGAGAGAGAGAGAAUGAGAGUAAGAAGAGAGAGAGAGAGAGAGAGAAUGCGGGUAAGAGUAGAGAGAGAGAGAAUGCGGGUAAGAUGAGAGAGAAUGAGAGUAAGAGUAGAGAGGGAGAGAGAGAAUGAGGGUAAGAGUAGAGAGGGAGAGAGAGAAUGAGGGUAAGAGUAGAGGGAGAGAGAGAAUGAGGGUAAGAGUAAAGAGAGAGAGAAUGAGGGUAAGAGUAGAGAGAGAGAGAAUGAGGGUAAGAGUAGAGAGAGAGAGAGAGAAUGAGUAAGAG
Oncorhynchus tshawytscha (Chinook salmon) is the source of this 802-nucleotide long non-coding RNA. The record is from Ensembl. NCBI's taxonomy places the organism in Eukaryota, Metazoa, Chordata, Actinopteri, Salmoniformes, Salmonidae.